ACGGGUGAGUAACGCGUGGGAAUCUACCCAUCUCUACGGGAUAGCUCCGGGAAACUGGAAUUAAUACCGUAUACGUCCUGAGGGAGAAAGAUUUAUCGGGGAUGGAUGAGCCCGCGUUGGAUUAGCUAGUUGGUGGGGUAAAGGCCUACCAAGGCGACGAUCCAUAGCUGGUCUGAGAGGAUGACCAGCCACAUUGGGACUGAGACACGGCCCAAACUCCUACGGGAGGCAGCAGUGGGGAAUAUUGGACAAUGGGCGCAAGCCUGAUCCAGCCAUGCCGCGUGAGUGAUGAAGGUCUUAGGAUUGUAAAGCUCUUUCAGUGGGGACGAUAAUGACGGUACCCACAGAAGAAGCCCCGGCUAACUUCGUGCCAGCAGCCGCGGUAAUACGAAGGGGGCUAGCGUUGUUCGGAAUUACUGGGCGUAAAGCGCACGUAGGCGGAUAUUUAAGUCGGGGGUGAAAUCCCGGGGCUCAACCCCGGAACUGCCUUCGAUACUGGGUAUCUUGAGUUCGGAAGAGGUGAGUGGAAUUGCGAGUGUAGAGGUGAAAUUCGUAGA
RNAcentral lists this ribosomal RNA (557 nucleotides) under uncultured bacterium. Its description in RNAcentral is "bacterial SSU rRNA". It matches the Rfam family "Bacterial small subunit ribosomal RNA", at positions 102 to 694 of the family's 1533-position model. The record is from RNAcentral.